Molecule: long non-coding RNA, 735 nt
Filed under: Nicotiana benthamiana
Lineage: Eukaryota; Viridiplantae; Streptophyta; Magnoliopsida; Solanales; Solanaceae
Description: long non-coding RNA (NBEN_LNC041306)
Source: RNAcentral
GGCUGACUGCCGCAGAGAAUCAAAUACACGCCCCAUCAGAUUUUCGUUUUUCUGCUCCUUCACAUUCCAAAACCUAAGGCUUCAUCUUCUUAACAAAACCAGUUGCAGAUUUUAAAAAACAAUUAGUCACAUUCCUUCCUCUCCAUUUUCAAGAAAAAGACCAAAGGAGAUUGAACACACAAUACAAUGAGGGGCCGCUCUUCUUCAGUAGACAAAAAUAGGAAGAACCCUCCUAUCAUCUUCCUUCUUCUUCACCUCAUAGCAGAUCGGUUGCUGCUCUUUCACAACCAAAAAUGGCCAGAAACUGGCAACCACUCACAUACGAACAGUAAAGAGGAACAUAGAGGGAUUUGAUCUGAUUAUUGUCGGUCGAUUCUUGUCUCCAAGGUUGUGUUCGCAGUUCUGAAUUCAAUGGUUGAUUAUUCCAUUCAGUAUAUAUGGAGCUCGUUGUUUGAUUUCCUUGCUUGCAUCACAUCCAGACAGAAGUUUUAAUUGAAACCCCCUUAAAGUUUCAUUCUUUUCCCCUUUAUUUCUGUUUGGUAUUGAUGUUAAUAUGAUAUGAGCCUAGGCUCCAUUGCAUGAAUUUCCUUCAACACACGUGCCUUGUUUUACUUUGGUGUCCGAACGUUUAUAUGGAAUCUGUUCAACUCCAACAUGGUUGAUCGAGGCUCUAUUUGAUUGUAUGAUUAUGUGAGUUCGUAAGACAUGUUAGAUUACUAUUAGAAGUAGUUAGAU